GACGAACGCUGGCGGCGUGCUUAACACAUGCAAGUCGAACGAUGAAGCCUAGCUUGCUAGGUGGAUUAGUGGCGAACGGGUGAGUAAUACGUGAGUAACCUACCUUUAACUCUGGGAUAAGCCUGGGAAACUGGGUCUAAUACCGGAUACGACCAAUCUCCGCAUGGGGUGUUGGUGGAAAGCGUUAUGUAGUGGUUAUAGAUGGGCUCACGGCCUAUCAGCUUGUUGGUGAGGUAACGGCUCACCAAGGCGACGACGGGUAGCCGGCCUGAGAGGGUGACCGGCCACACUGGGACUGAGACACGGCCCAGACUCCUACGGGAGGCAGCAGUGGGGAAUAUUGCACAAUGGGCGCAAGCCUGAUGCAGCGACGCCGCGUGAGGGAUGACGGCCUUCGGGUUGUAAACCUCUGUUAGCAGGGAAGAAGAGAGAUUGACGGUACCUGCAGAGAAAGCGCCGGCUAACUACGUGCCAGCAGCCGCGGUAAUACGUAGGGCGCGAGCGUUGUCCGGAAUUAUUGGGCGUAAAGAGCUUGUAGGCGGUUUGUCGCGUCUGCUGUGAAAGGCCCGGAGCUUAACUCCGUGUAUUGCAGUGGGUACGGGCAGACUAGAGUGCAGUAGGGGAGACUGGAAUUCCUGGUGUAGCGGUGGAAUGCGCAGAUAUCAGGAGGAACACCGAUGGCGAAGGCAGGUCUCUGGGCUGUAACUGACGCUGAGAAGCGAAAGCAUGGGGAGCGAACAGGAUUAGAUACCCUGGUAGUCCAUGCCGUAAACGUUGGGCACUAGGUGUGGGGAACAUUCCACGUUUUCCGCGCCGUAGCUAACGCAUUAAGUGCCCCGCCUGGGGAGUACGGCCGCAAGGCUAAAACUCAAAGAAAUUGACGGGGGCCCGCACAAGCGGCGGAGCAUGCGGAUUAAUUCGAUGCAACGCGAAGAACCUUACCAAGGCUUGACAUAUACUGGACCGCAUCAGAGAUGGUGUUUCCCUUCGGGGCUGGUAUACAGGUGGUGCAUGGUUGUCGUCAGCUCGUGUCGUGAGAUGUUGGGUUAAGUCCCGCAACGAGCGCAACCCUCGUUCUAUGUUGCCAGCACGUUAUGGUGGGGACUCAUAGGAGACUGCCGGGGUCAACUCGGAGGAAGGUGGGGAUGACGUCAAAUCAUCAUGCCCCUUAUGUCUUGGGCUUCACGCAUGCUACAAUGGCCGGUACAGAGGGUUGCGAUACUGUGAGGUGGAGCUAAUCCCUAAAAGCCGGUCUCAGUUCGGAUUGGGGUCUGCAACUCGACCCCAUGAAGUCGGAGUCGCUAGUAAUCGCAGAUCAGCAACGCUGCGGUGAAUACGUUCCCGGGCCU
Molecule: ribosomal RNA, 1349 nt
Filed under: uncultured bacterium
Lineage: Bacteria
Description: bacterial SSU rRNA
Rfam family: Bacterial small subunit ribosomal RNA
Source: RNAcentral